GUGGGGCUCUGCAGACAGUGGGCAGCUCUGCCCCCUCUUCUGUUGUGUCCCGGGCACGAGACUCCCUCUCUCUAAGAGUCAGGAGGACCUCAGGCAGGGACACGCGGAGAGAAUGGAUGAAGGAGCAGCAAGCGGAAGCUUCCCACUCGUUCCCCCAGCUCUGGGUGCCUCAGGCGGUCUGGUGUGGGGUGUUUCUUGCACGAGGAAAACAUGGAAAGUGCACCCCGCUGUCCAGCAAGGCUGUCCAGGUGCGAGAGAAGAGAGGCCCCAAGCCGCUCCCAUACAGAGACCAAUGUCACCACGACCCAGGCAGCGAGGGCGCGUGGACCCUAGAAGUCACAUGGAAUCCAGCCCCCGCAGGGCCCUGGAGCGCAAGGGGUGGGGGAG
Long non-coding RNA from Talpa occidentalis (Iberian mole), 387 nucleotides. RefSeq lists it as uncharacterized. The transcript is spliced from 3 exons. NCBI's taxonomy places the organism in Eukaryota, Metazoa, Chordata, Mammalia, Eulipotyphla, Talpidae. The record is from RefSeq and is a predicted model, not a curated record.